RNAcentral lists this ribosomal RNA (774 nucleotides) under uncultured Neocallimastigales. RNAcentral's name for it is "partial large subunit ribosomal RNA". It matches the Rfam family "Eukaryotic large subunit ribosomal RNA", at positions 26 to 637 of the family's 3401-position model. Lineage: Eukaryota; Fungi; Neocallimastigomycota; Neocallimastigomycetes; Neocallimastigales. The record is from RNAcentral.
CGCUCUGUGCAUGCAGCAUAUCAAUAAGCGGAGGAAAAGAAACUAACAAGGAUUCCCCUAGUAACGGCGAGUGAAGCGGGAAGAGCUCAAAUUUGAAAUCUUAAAGGGUUUCCCUUUACGAAUUGUAGUUUAAAGAAGUGUUUUCUGUUGAGGUUUUGGUAAAAGUUCUUUGGAAUAGGACAUCAUAGAGGGUGAGAAUCCCGUAUUUGACCUUUACUUUCCAACUUUGUGAUACACUUUCAAAGAGUCGGAUUGUUUGGGAAUGCAGUCCAAAAUGGGUGGUAAAUUUCAUCUAAAGCUAAAUAUUGGCGAGAGACCGAUAGCGAACAAGUACCGUGAGGGAAAGAUGAAAAGAACUUUGAAAAGAGAGUUAAACAGUACGUGAAAUUGUCAAAAGGGAAGCGUUUGACACCAGUGUUGUUUUUCUGAAAAUCAAUUAAAGAACUGUUUAUGCUAAGUUGUUUAGACUUUAUCAGCUAACUGUUUAGUUUUGAGCUUUUCUUUAAUGCACUUUUCAGUUAACAAGUCAACAUCAAUUUCUUUUGCUGUAAAAAAGCUUGAGGAAGGUGGCUUGAGAUUCGUCUUAAGUGUUUAUAGCCUCUUGCCUAUGCAGUCGGAGAGAUUGAGGUCUGCAGCGUAGAUCCUUCGGGGCUAAAUGCAUUUGUGCUAAGUUAUAGCAUUUUAUAGACAACUUGUUGACUAUGAUUUGUCUUGUAGCUUACUCGCUUAUGUUAUUUUACCUACGCUUAGGAUGUUGACAGCAGUAUAGACUGU